This 450-nucleotide ribosomal RNA is filed under the name uncultured bacterium. RNAcentral's name for it is "partial 16S ribosomal RNA". It matches the Rfam family "Bacterial small subunit ribosomal RNA", at positions 354 to 796 of the family's 1533-position model. The record is from RNAcentral.
GUGGGGAAUUUUGGACAAUGGGCGCAAGCCUGAUCCAGCAAUGCCGCGUGCAGGAAGAAGGCCUUCGGGUUGUAAACUGCUUUUGUACGGAACGAAACGGUCCGGGUUAAUACCCUGGGCUAAUGACGGUACCGUAAGAAUAAGCACCGGCUAACUACGUGCCAGCAGCCGCGGUAAUACGUAGGGUGCAAGCGUUAAUCGGAAUUACUGGGCGUAAAGCGUGCGCAGGCGGUUUUGUAAGACAGGCGUGAAAUCCCCGGGCUCAACCUGGGAAUUGCGCUGGUGACUGCAGUGCUGGAGUGCGGCAGAGGGGGAGGGAAUUGCGCGUGUAGCAGUGAAAUGCGUAGAUAUGCGGAGGAACACCGAUGGCGAAGGCAAUCCCCUGGGCCUGCACUGACGCUCAUGCACGAAAGCGUGGGGAGCAAACAGGAUUAGAUACCCGGGUAGUCC